UACGAAGGGGGCUAGCGUUGUUCGGAUUUACUGGGCGUAAAGCGCACGUAGGCGGUUUGUUAAGUCAGGGGUGAAAUCCCACAGCUCAACUGUGGAACUGCAUUGGAUACUGCCUUGCUAGAGUACUGGAGAGGAAACUGGAAUUUACGGUGUAGCAGUGAAAUGCGUAGAUAUCGUAAGGAAGACCAGUGGCGAAGGCGAGUUUCUGGACAGUUACUGACGCUGAGGCACGAAGGCCAGGGGGAGCAAACGGG
RNAcentral lists this ribosomal RNA (254 nucleotides) under uncultured bacterium. RNAcentral describes it as "partial 16S ribosomal RNA". It matches the Rfam family "Bacterial small subunit ribosomal RNA", at positions 524 to 776 of the family's 1533-position model. The record is from RNAcentral.